This 460-nucleotide ribosomal RNA is filed under the name uncultured bacterium. Its description in RNAcentral is "partial 16S ribosomal RNA". It matches the Rfam family "Bacterial small subunit ribosomal RNA", at positions 338 to 795 of the family's 1533-position model. The record is from RNAcentral.
CCUACGGGAGGCAGCAGUGAGGAAUAUUGGUCAAUGGACGAGAGUCUGAACCAGCCAAGUAGCGUGAAGGAUGACUGCCCUAUGGGUUGUAAACUUCUUUUAUAUGGGAAUAAAAUGUUCCACGUGUGGGAUUUUGUAUGUACCAUAUGAAUACGGAUCGGCUAACUCCGUGCCAGCAGCCGCGGUAAUACGGAGGAUCCGAGCGUUAUCCGGAUUUAUUGGGUUUAAAGGGAGCGUAGGUGGAUUGUUAAGUCAGUUGUGAAAGUUUGCGGCUCAACCGUAAAAUUGCAGUUGAAACUGGCAGUCUUGAGUACAGUAGAGGUGGGCGGAAUUCGUGGUGUAGCGGUGAAAUGCUUAGAUAUCACGUAGAACUCCGAUUGCGAAGGCAGUUCACUGGACUGCAACUGACACUGAGGCUCGAAAGUGUGGGUAUCAAACAGGAUUAGAUACCCUUGUAGUC